This is a non-coding RNA of Leptonychotes weddellii (Weddell seal), 396 nucleotides long. NCBI's taxonomy places the organism in Eukaryota, Metazoa, Chordata, Mammalia, Carnivora, Phocidae. The record is from RefSeq and is a predicted model, not a curated record.
GCCAUUCUGGGCUAAAGUUUGAAUAAAAACAAGAUUUCCUAGUGUUCUGGUUUUGUUUUGGAGGAUUUAGAGAUCUCCAAAACGGAGAAAAGCCAUCACGUUUAAUAUUAUGUAAUAAGGUCAAAUUUCAUUUUAAGUACACCAGAUUCCAAAAUCCAAAUGCCAGACCCCUGCUCACCACUUUAACAUCUCAGAGUGUUGUGAGGACCUCAUUUUUUUAUAGAGAAGAAAGUUACAUCCUGAAAUCUCUAUCUUUUAAACUGGUCUCUGCUCAAGCUCAUUUGGUCAGUGAUCUCUUCCCCGACCACCAUUAUAAAAUAGCAACUCCUUCCUUCCACUCCAGCCUCCCUAUUACUCAGAGAGGCACAGCAAGAGAGGGAACACAAGCAGGGGGAG